RNAcentral lists this long non-coding RNA (216 nucleotides) under Theobroma cacao (cacao). Its description in RNAcentral is "long non-coding RNA (TCAC_LNC005034)". Lineage: Eukaryota; Viridiplantae; Streptophyta; Magnoliopsida; Malvales; Malvaceae. The record is from RNAcentral.
AUAAAUCGAGCAUGAUUGGCUAGUUGGCAAUUGUAUUGAAAUGCGAAUUGUUUGGUUGCCUUGAAAAACUGCGAAUUUCAAAAUUACCAUAUCAUGUUAUUGAGUUUUAUUAUAUGGUGGAUUAUAUAUUAAUUAAUCACUACAGUAGGGGGUUUCUGUGGACCAGCCUUUUAGAGGGGCACGGUAAACCCAAUUAUAUUCUUACCUUGAAUGGAG